This 751-nucleotide ribosomal RNA is filed under the name Enterococcus gallinarum. Its description in RNAcentral is "bacterial SSU rRNA". It matches the Rfam family "Bacterial small subunit ribosomal RNA", at positions 60 to 783 of the family's 1533-position model. Lineage: Bacteria; Bacillati; Bacillota; Bacilli; Lactobacillales; Enterococcaceae. The record is from RNAcentral.
AGUCGAACGCUUUUUCUUUCACCGGAGCUUGCUCCAUCGAAAGAAAAAGAGUGGCGAACGGGUGAGUAACACGUGGGUAACCUGCCCAUCAGAAGGGGAUAACACUUGGAAACAGGUGCUAAUACCGUAUAACACUAUUUUCCGCAUGGAAGAAAGUUGAAAGGCGCUUUUGCGUCACUGAUGGAUGGACCCGCGGUGCAUUAGCUAGUUGGUGAGGUAACGGCUCACCAAGGCCACGAUGCAUAGCCGACCUGAGAGGGUGAUCGGCCACACUGGGACUGAGACACGGCCCAGACUCCUACGGGAGGCAGCAGUAGGGAAUCUUCGGCAAUGGACGAAAGUCUGACCGAGCAACGCCGCGUGAGUGAAGAAGGUUUUCGGAUCGUAAAACUCUGUUGUUAGAGAAGAACAAGGAUGAGAGUAGAACGUUCAUCCCUUGACGGUAUCUAACCAGAAAGCCACGGCUAACUACGUGCCAGCAGCCGCGGUAAUACGUAGGUGGCAAGCGUUGUCCGGAUUUAUUGGGCGUAAAGCGAGCGCAGGCGGUUUCUUAAGUCUGAUGUGAAAGCCCCCGGCUCAACCGGGGAGGGUCAUUGGAAACUGGGAGACUUGAGUGCAGAAGAGGAGAGUGGAAUUCCAUGUGUAGCGGUGAAAUGCGUAGAUAUAUGGAGGAACACCAGUGGCGAAGGCGGCUCUCUGGUCUGUAACUGACGCUGANGCUCGAAAGCGUGGGGAGCGAACAGGAUUAGAU